RNAcentral lists this long non-coding RNA (351 nucleotides) under Pelobates cultripes (western spadefoot toad). Lineage: Eukaryota; Metazoa; Chordata; Amphibia; Anura; Pelobatidae. The record is from RNAcentral.
UUCUUCUUCUUUUUUUUUUUCGUUUUUUGUUUGAUAAUUUAUACAGGAACUGUUUUUAUUUCUUCCUUGACCUUUUUAACGGUCUAUAAGGGAAUCGCCACUAUUUGCCCAAAAACGGAGGCAACAAACCCCCAGCAAAAACCGGCAUACACCACCACGUCAGACCAGGUCCACCGACCCACCAAAUCUUCACCGAACCGAGCCCUCCCUCCACUUCGUCUAAGCCGGACCACACUCACAAAUCAGCACGGAGCGGCAUUGCUUACUCUCGACUCCGCGUCCUCUCUCCUCAACCUCCCUCCGGACACGCCCACCUAAAGCACGUGCGGCGUCUCACGUCAUCACGUCCUC